This 786-nucleotide ribosomal RNA is filed under the name uncultured bacterium. Its description in RNAcentral is "bacterial SSU rRNA". It matches the Rfam family "Bacterial small subunit ribosomal RNA", at positions 66 to 850 of the family's 1533-position model. The record is from RNAcentral.
ACGGAGCACCCUUGAUUGAGGUUUCGGCCAAAUGAUAGGAAUGCUUAGUGGCGGACUGGUGAGUAACGCGUGAGGAACCUGCCUUUCAGAGGGGGACAACAGUUGGAAACGACUGCUAAUACCGCAUGACGCAUUUUGAUCGCAUGGUCGAAAUGCCAAAGAUUUAUCGCUGAAAGAUGGCCUCGCGUCUGAUUAGCUAGUUGGUGAGGUAACGGCCCACCAAGGCGACGAUCAGUAGCCGGACUGAGAGGUUGACCGGCCACAUUGGGACUGAGAUACGGCCCAGACUCCUACGGGAGGCAGCAGUGGGGAAUAUUGGGCAAUGGGCGCAAGCCUGACCCAGCAACGCCGCGUGAAGGAAGAAGGCUUUAGGGUUGUAAACUUCUUUUAAGUGGGAAGAGCAGAAGACGGUACCACUUGAAUAAGCCACGGCUAACUACGUGCCAGCAGCCGCGGUAAUACGUAGGUGGCAAGCGUUGUCCGGAUUUACUGGGUGUAAAGGGCGUGCAGCCGGGCAUGCAAGUCAGAUGUGAAAUCUCAGGGCUUAACCCUGAAACUGCAUUUGAAACUGUAUGUCUUGAGUGCCGGAGAGGUAAUCGGAAUUCCUUGUGUAGCGGUGAAAUGCGUAGAUAUAAGGAAGAACACCAGUGGCGAAGGCGGAUUACUGGACGGUAACUGACGGUGAGGCGCGAAAGCGUGGGGAGCGAACAGGAUUAGAUACCCUGGUAGUCCACGCUGUAAACGAUGGAUACUAGGUGUGCGGGGACUGACCCCCUGCGUGCCGCA